This 464-nucleotide ribosomal RNA is filed under the name uncultured bacterium. RNAcentral describes it as "partial 16S ribosomal RNA". It matches the Rfam family "Bacterial small subunit ribosomal RNA", at positions 28 to 507 of the family's 1533-position model. The record is from RNAcentral.
GGCGAACGCUGGCGGCGUGCUUAACACAUGCAAGUCGAACGGAAAGGCCCUGCUUGCAUGGUACUCGAGUGGCGAACGGGUGAGUAACACGUGGGUGAUCCGCCCUGCACUUCGGGGUAAGCCUGGGCAACUGGGUCUAAUACCGGAUACGGGCCACUUUUUGUGUGAUGGUUGGAAAGAUUUUUCGGUGUAGGAUGAGCUCGCGGCCUAUCAGCUUGUUGGUGGGGUAAUGGCCUACCAAGGCGGCGACGGGUAGCCGGCCUGAGAGGGUGGACGGCCACAUUGGGACUGAGAUACGGCCCAGACUCCUACGGGAGGCAGCAGUGGGGAAUAUUGCACAAUGGGAGCAAGCCUGAUGCAGCGACGCCGCGUGGGGGAUGACGGCCUUCGGGUUGUAAACUCCUUUCGCUAGGGACGAAGCUUUUGUGACGGUACCUAGAGAAGAAGCACCGGCUAACUACGUG